CCUACGGGUGGCAGCAGUGAGGAAUAUUGGUCAAUGGACGCAAGUCUGAACCAGCCAUGCCGCGUGCAGGAAGACGGCUCUAUGAGUUGUAAACUGCUUUUGUACGAGGGUAAACGCAGAUACGCGUAUCUGUCUGAAAGUAUCGUACGAAUAAGGAUCGGCUAACUCCGUGCCAGCAGCCGCGGUAAUACGGAGGAUUCAAGCGUUAUCCGGAUUUAUUGGGUUUAAAGGGUGCGUAGGCGGUCGGAUAAGUUAGAGGUGAAAUCCCGAGGCUCAACUUCGGAAUUGCCUCUGAUACUGUGCGGCUAGAGAGUAGUAGCGGUAGGCGGAAUGUAUGGUGUAGCGGUGAAAUGCUUAGAGAUCAUACAGAACACCGAUUGCGAAGGCAGCUUACCAAGCUACUUCUGACGUUGAGACACGAAAGCGUGGGGAGCAAACAGGAUUAGAUACCCCAGUAGUC
Molecule: ribosomal RNA, 460 nt
Filed under: uncultured bacterium
Lineage: Bacteria
Description: partial 16S ribosomal RNA
Rfam family: Bacterial small subunit ribosomal RNA
Source: RNAcentral